This 405-nucleotide ribosomal RNA is filed under the name uncultured bacterium. RNAcentral describes it as "partial 16S ribosomal RNA". It matches the Rfam family "Bacterial small subunit ribosomal RNA", at positions 30 to 526 of the family's 1533-position model. The record is from RNAcentral.
AUUGAACGCUGGCGGCAGGCCUAACACAUGCAAGUCGAACGAGUGGCGGACGGGUGAGUAAUGUCUGGGAAACUGCCUGAUGGAGGGGGAUAACAACGGAAACGGUAGCUAACACCGCCUACCAUCAGAUGUGCCCAGAUGGGAUUUGCUGGUUGGUGGGGUAAAGGCUCACCAAGGCGACGAACCCUAGCUGGGCUGAGAGGAUGGCCAGCCACACUGGAACUGAGACACGGUCCAGACUCCUACGGGAGGCAGCAGUGGGGAAUAUUGCACAAUGGGCGCAAGCCUGAUGCAGCCAUGCCGCGUGUAUGAAGAAGGCCUUCGGGUUGUAAAGUACUUUCAGCGGGGAGGCGUUACCCGCAGAAGAAGCACCGGCUAACUCCGUGCCAGCAGCCGCGGUAAUUC